CUGAGAGUUUACAGGUUUUUAUGUUAGAUUUCUUCAGUAAUUUAAUGAGUUAUCAGCAAAAAUCAAGUGUUCAUUUGAUGAACUUCAUUUCCUAAAACAUCCAGAAUUGGAGCUCAUAUCUUUGGCAGCUGUAAAGUUUCUGCUCCUUCAAAGUUCACAACACAAUGAAUGAAUUCCUAAAACACUCUCAAUGCUGGAGAGCAUUUGAUGCUGAAGCAGUGAUCAGUUUUUCUGUUUCUUCUCUGGAGAUGCACAAUGAGGGACGUCUGCAGAGACUGAGAAAGAGUCUCACCACAUCCUGACAUGAGGAAAAAGACUUCAUUGAAGACUACAAUGAGAAAAACUAUCAGACAGCAGACGGCUGCAUUCAAGGUGAGCUCUGAACAUUUGAUCUGGAACAGGAAUUCAAUCACGGCAGCAUGAGCUUCAUUUCAGUCUGUAGCUGCUGAAUUCAUGGAUGAAUCAUCUGGCACUAGAGAGGAAGACCAUCAAACAUCCACAUCAGCUGAUGGAGGUCCAAGAGUCUCACCCAACAAACAACCUACAGAGUGAAGACCUCAAAUCUGAUUGGACGGCCUCCUAUUCAGCCACAUGCUACAGGAGGAGCCCUAUGAGGACGAGCCGGUCCACCUGAUGGAGGCCAGUCGCUGCGGUUCAAAGCCAACACCGACUACGUGGACUUCUACUGGACCACAUGGAGGCCUUCAAACCGGACCAACAAGUUCAGCGACUCCCCGACUCGUGGGUCUGAGGAUGCUGCCGAGCCUCGGUCCAGCCGGCCUCCUGUCUGUGGAUGUUUGAGUGCUGAGAGACCUGACCGUGAACACCGUUGACACCCACCUGAGGGAGACGCUGCCUAAGAUCUCAAGGCUGCUUGGUCAUGGUCUUUCUGGUCCUGCUCCAGAACGCCUUCAUCAACUACGUCUUCUUUUGAAGAGGCCCUCAGAUGCUGCAAUCUCUGACCUUCAGGAGGAACUGCUACUUUCACUCUGUAAUGAGACGGUGGUUAUUUUAAAGACCCAGCUCCUGGCGGCUUUGAAUGAAAGUUUAACACCCAUCAAAACGGAACUACAGACA
Long non-coding RNA from Amphiprion ocellaris (clown anemonefish), 1077 nucleotides. The record is from Ensembl. NCBI's taxonomy places the organism in Eukaryota, Metazoa, Chordata, Actinopteri, Pomacentridae.